Molecule: ribosomal RNA, 227 nt
Filed under: uncultured bacterium
Lineage: Bacteria
Description: partial 16S ribosomal RNA
Rfam family: Bacterial small subunit ribosomal RNA
Source: RNAcentral
ACGGCCCACCAAGACGACGAUCAGUAGCCGACCUGAGAGGGUGACCGGCCACAUUGGGACUGAGACACGGCCCAAACUCCUACGGGAGGCAGCAGUGGGGAAUAUUGCGCAAUGGAGGAAACCCUGAUGCAGCGACGCCGCGUGAGCAAAGAAGUAUCUCGGUAUGUAAAGCUCUAUCAGCAGGGAAGAAGAUGACGGUACCUGACUAAGAAGCACCGGCUAAAUAC